AAAGGAAUAGACGGGGGCCCGCACAAGCAGCGGAGCAUGUGGUUUAAUUCGAAGCAACGCGAAGAACCUUACCAGGGCUUGACAUCCACAGAAUGCAUUAGAGAUAGUGCAGUGCCCUUUUAGGGAACUGUGAGACAGGUGGUGCAUGGUUGUCGUCAGCUCGUGUCGUGAGAUGUUGGGUUAAGUCCCGCAACGAGCGCAACCCCUAUCGCUAGUUGCUAACACUAAAGGUGAGCACUCUAGCGAGACUGCCGGGGAGAACUCGGAGGAAGGUGGGGAUGACGUCAAAUCAUCAUGCCCCUUAUGUCCUGGGCUACACACGUGCUACAAUGGCCGGAACAGAGGGCAGCUAAGGAGUAAUCCGGAGCAAAUCCCAAAAACCCGGUCUCAGUUCGGAUUGUGGGCUGCAACCCGCCCACAUGAAGUCGGAGUUGCUAGUAAUCGCGGAUCAGCCAUGCCGCGGUGAAUGCGUUCCCGGGCCUUGUACACACCGCCCGU
Molecule: ribosomal RNA, 498 nt
Filed under: uncultured bacterium
Lineage: Bacteria
Description: bacterial SSU rRNA
Rfam family: Bacterial small subunit ribosomal RNA
Source: RNAcentral